CCCAAUUGAUUGAUGGUGCUUGCACCUGAUUGAUUUUGGUUGCCAACGAGUGGCGGACGGGUGAGUAACACGUAGGUAACCUGCCCAGAAGCGGGGGACAACAUUUGGAAACAGAUGCUAAUACCGCAUAACAGCGUUGUUCGCAUGAACAGCGCUUAAAAGAUGGCUUCUCGCUAUCACUUCUGGAUGGACCUGCGGUGCAUUAGCUUGUUGGUGGGGUAACGGCCUACCAAGGCGAUGAUGCAUAGCCGAGUUGAGAGACUGAUCGGCCACAAUGGGACUGAGACACGGCCCAUACUCCUACGGGAGGCAGCAGUAGGGAAUCUUCCACAAUGGGCGCAAGCCUGAUGGAGCAACACCGCGUGAGUGAAGAAGGGUUUCGGCUCGUAAAGCUCUGUUGUUAAAGAAGAACACGUAUGAGAGUAACUGUUCAUACGUUGACGGUAUUUAACCAGAAAGUCACGGCUAACUACGUGCCAGCAGCCGCGGUAAUACGUAGGUGGCAAGCGUUAUCCGGAUUUAUUGGGCGUAAAGAGAGUGCAGGCGGUUUUCUAAGUCUGAUGUGAAAGCCUUCGGCUUAACCGGAGAAGUGCAUCGGAAACUGGAUAACUUGAGUGCAGAAGAGGGUAGUGGAACUCCAUGUGUAGCGGUGGAAUGCGUAGAUAUAUGGAAGAACACCAGUGGCGAAGGCGGCUACCUGGUCUGCAACUGACGCUGAGACUCGAAAGCAUGGGUAGCGAACAGGAUUAGAUACCCUGGUAGUCCAUGCC
This 770-nucleotide ribosomal RNA is filed under the name uncultured bacterium. RNAcentral's name for it is "bacterial SSU rRNA". It matches the Rfam family "Bacterial small subunit ribosomal RNA", at positions 57 to 801 of the family's 1533-position model. The record is from RNAcentral.